RNAcentral lists this ribosomal RNA (253 nucleotides) under uncultured bacterium. RNAcentral's name for it is "partial 16S ribosomal RNA". It matches the Rfam family "Bacterial small subunit ribosomal RNA", at positions 524 to 776 of the family's 1533-position model. The record is from RNAcentral.
UACGAAGGGGGCUAGCGUUGCUCGGAAUUACUGGGCGUAAAGCGCAUGUAGGCGGCUUUCUAAGUCGGGGGUGAAAUCCUGGAGCUCAACUCCAGAACUGCCUUCGAUACUGGAAGACUCGAGUCCGGGAGAGGUGAGUGGAACUGCGAGUGUAGAGGUGAAAUUCGUAGAUAUUCGCAAGAACACCAGUGGCGAAGGCGGCUCACUGGCCCGGUACUGACGCUGAGGUGCGAAAGCGUGGGGAGCAAACAGG